Non-coding RNA from Equus caballus (horse), 4048 nucleotides. Lineage: Eukaryota; Metazoa; Chordata; Mammalia; Perissodactyla; Equidae. The record is from RefSeq and is a predicted model, not a curated record.
CAGUGAUGCUGCGGGACUGGCCUGGGAUCCUGGACCAAAGACUGUCGCGCUAGUGGGGAAACAUGUCGAGUUUCUCCAGGGCGCCCCAGCAAUGGGCUACUUUUGCUCGAGUUUGGUAUCUCUUAGAUGGGAAAAUGCAGCCUCCUGGGAAACUUGCUGCUAUGGCAUCAAUUAAACUUCAAGGAUUGCAUAAACCUGUGUACCAUCAACUGAGUGACUGUGGGGAUCAUGUUGUCAUAAUGAACACAAGGCACAUUGCAUUUUCUGGAAACAAAUGGGAACAAAAAGUGUACUCCUCACAUACUGGCUACCCAGGUGGAUUUAAACAGGUAACAGCUGCUCAGCUUCACCAGAAGGAUCCAGUGGCAAUUGUAAAACUGGCUAUUUAUGGCAUGCUGCCAAAAAACCUUCACAGAAGAACUAUGAUGCAGAGGUUGCAUCUUUUCCCAGAUGAGGACAUACCAGAAGAUAUUCUUAAGAAUUUAGUGGAAGAGCUUCCUCAACCUCGGAAAGUACCCAGACGUCUCGAUGAGUACACACAAGAAGAAAUAGAGGCUUUCCCAAGAGUGUGGUCUCCACCUGAAGAUUAUCGGCUAUAGAAGAAUGAAAGUUGCAGAAAAUAACAGUGAGGUGUGAGACAACAUGAAAUAAGCCCGGAGCUCCUGAGCCAGCAGCUUUAAGAGGGAGGAAUUUUUGUCUGCUGUACCCUAAGCACCUAGAACCAACGUUUGUUUGUUGAUGAAAGGCUCACUGAAGAAAGCUCUUUUCACCAACAAAACUGCGGGAUUUGAAGAGGUGAGAUCAGAGUAACAUGCUCUAUGAGAAUGUUGAACCCAGUCGUCAUCAUAUUAAAUAUUUGUUAAGACCAAUCACCAUCCGCCUCACUCUGACUCGCUGUGUGAGAGCCCGGUUGGUGGGAGAAGGGCAGUCUGAUCCUGCAGAUUUAAUGGGCUGUGUAGACCUACAGUGGGGCUAUUCUGGGGGACUGAAGUGCUCUUCACAGCUGGGAGCUCACUCUAUUUUGCAUUCAGACAGAACCAGAGCAGAGGGGCUUUUGCACCAGCCAAGCAGCCUUCAGAAGCACCGCCCACCCAUUUGCUGUUGCUUGAGAGUGUAACAGCCUGACCCGUCCAUAUCCUGAAAGAACACAACCACAAGUAGCCAAAUAAAAAUCACAGCUCUCUGUAUGGGACUCAGUAAUCUGAAGGAGGAAGACAAGCUGGACCGCUAGAAUCCCAGCUCCUACUGAAGUAAAAUGAAUAGAAGUAGCAGAACUUUAAAAAAAUAAGAGUUCUUACAGAAAAAGAGUUGUAAUCAUUCCAAUAAUCGUAUGGGAAGACAAAGAUUAAUAAAUAUCUUCUGUUGCUGUGUCUGUAAGGUGCACAUUAGUGCAGAUAAAUAAUAAAUCAAGUCACCAAAACCAAAAUCCUGUUUGUUCAUAUGCAAUUUUUCACCAGGUGACUGUGUUACACUAUUGGGUAUGUCCCAUGUCACCAAACCAAGACUUAACUGUGGCUUCAACUCUCCCAGAAAUGGAAUCUUCAACCAGUCAAAUAGGAAUCGCCAGAUCAGCACUAGUUAGGUAACACCAGGUAAAUGUGAAAAACACCAUCCAGCUGAGCAUAAUGACCGAUGGAAGAAUAUACAAAACACCUUCUCUCUCUUACCCCAUUUUACCCAAUGCAUUGCCUACUGUAUUCCAACUUUGUGGACUUUCUCAGUAAAACAUGAGUAAGUGUCCUGAUUAUAAGUAGGAAAAAGGAAAAGCCUUCAGUAUUGCGAAGUUUCGAAACAAGAGAAAAUGUGACACUGCAAUAGCCAGUCGGCCAAAGUAAUCACAUUGGUCAACAUAGGAGACAACGCUGAAAACAAGAGAAACAGAGCUUAAUAUUAACUUCCCAAUAAUCACCUGCUUUCUAGGGAACUGAAGGCUGAAAAGUGCUUAUUUGCAGUGGGCCUGAAGCUAACUGCAAACCUCAUGAGGCAUGAGAGCACUUCGCGUCGUCUGAUCUCAUUUGGGGCCAUUACAAACAGCCUCUUUAUGAGAGGGGGCAAUUAACAAAACAAGAAAAGUGGGAUUUCUGUUUCAAGCCAGUUCAGAGGAACACAAACAGCACAAUAAGCGGCCAUCUGCCUCUGGUGUCCCAUUUUAUCGAAAACUAUAAUCCUUUCACCUAUUCUCCAGAGUUCAAAACCACAACCCUUCACUAUAAACAUCUCCACCAAGCAAACUUCAUAUCUUGUCAAAAUAACAUUCUAUGUUUACUAUAAUGUCUUUAUUGGGAUGUUUAAAAUUAUGGUAGUUUUCUUGUAUCACUUACAAGACUGUGCAAGUUUUGAGUGUUCUGCCCCAACUCCAUUUUUCUCCUAAGCCCCGUUACUUUCGGAGUACAAAAUUCCAUCCCCUGGGGAUUGCUGGAAGGCAUCUGCCACUUUAUAGGACGGACGGCUGUCCUCACUGUAGUUGCUGGUUUAGCACAUCCUCCUGCCAGAUGACUCUUCUUCCAGGGUCCUAAGAGGUCACACUCCCACAACCCCAGUAGAAGUGGCCACCUGAGAUUUAUUGUACCAAAAAUUCUGGUGCCAUCCCCUUAUCAAGCCUAGGUGGCAGUAGGGAGCAGCUCGCUGUGAGGCCUCCUGAGUGGUCAAUGUGAUACUGUUGCCAAGCAUGUCCUCAUCUCCAGGCAUGGGUUAUCUCCAGCGUUCAAUCAGGACCUAGCAGGCGGGCCAAGAUAAUUCUAAAGCAGGUCUUUACCACGAUUCUUUGCCCAGGCUGCCAUCCUUUCCUUUCUUAUCCUAAUUCCUACUCUAAAUUUAUAAAGUGAAUACUAAGAACUAUGAUUGGUGAGAUUGAUAAAUAAUAUCUCUUGGUUUAGACAAACUGAGUCACACGUUGGCCCAGAGGCUAGGGUUGUGGUAAUGAAUCAAUACUGCCAUCUUUACAAGUGAUUAAAGAGCAGAAUUUUGUUUUACUUUUAAGGUUUAACCUAGAUGAAGGAAUUUUUUUUUAAAAGCAUGUAAGUUGCAGUUAUCAGAUUCUUACUGUAGUUCCUUCCUCUCCUUUAUUGCUAAUUCCCUCCAAGCCAGAUCUAGACACUGUCACUGUGCCCGUGCCCCAUCUUGUUUCUAUGCUGCAGUUGACAAACUUGUUUUCCUACCUUCUCCUGGAAAAGGGGGUUAGUUCCACAUUCAGCCAAGAACAACACUAAAUGUCCGGGUCUCUCCUGGCUGAAAAUUCCUGCAUGGAACAGGUAGCAAGUCCUGAGGCUGCAAAGCCUAGAAGCCCCAGGAGGGACGCUGCUGCCAAGCUCUACAAUGCUGAGUUUGAAUUGGAAAGGACCCUAUUUAAGAAGGUACGAUCUUUCCAAAACAGACGUUAAGGCUCCAUUUCAACUUAAAUAAGGCUCUUGCAGAGAAACGGUACUUCUCUCUCUCUGCCCAAAAAUCUAAAAUAAGAGAGUUGAGUAGUUUUGCAGCAUCACUACUGCUCGGGGCUUUGCCUUAGAAGAAUGUAAAUCUGAGAUUGGCUACCCGUAAAACAGACGGUCACUCCACCUGAGGGCCAAUUUUUAUUAGGCUGGCUGCCAGGAAGGUUGAGGACACAUUUUCCACAUGAAGAUGGCAUAAACAGGACCUCUGAAGGAGACACACAUUUGUAUCAGUGCCACUUGGUCCACGAAAACCUCUUUGAUUUCAAACAAAUCUUUAUUUCAAGGCUUAACUUCGCUCUUACUGCCCUUACUUUUCAAUUCCAAAGUUAAUACCUAUUAAAACCUUGGAAACAGCGGCAGCUAGAAGACCGCUCCCUUUCUAGUGGACACCUGUGCUUUAUAGGUUGAUGAUAUGGAGCUCCAACUUGUCAACCUGCAUUAAAUUGUUUAGAAUCAACACUUUGAAAUUAUGAUACCAUCUGGCAUCUUCUUUAGCAAUCACAAAACCAAGAACUGUUUUAAUAUUUAGAGGAAAUUCUGAGUAUAAAGCAUGUGUCUUUUACUUUUUGGCAAAUUCACAAAGUCCAAAUAAAAUAUUUUUAUAACUCGAUAGAAAA